ACUCCUACGGGAGGCAGCAGUCGAGAAUUUUGGCCAAUGGGCGAAAGUCUGACGCAGGCACGCCGCCCUGGAGGAUGAAGGCCUUGCCGGGUUGUAAAGCGCGGUCGAAUGGGACGAAACCAGGCUGGCGAGAAGUCGCUCCGGGGUGACGGUACCUACUGAAGAACGCUCGGCUAACUCCGUGCCAGCAGCCGCGGUAAU
RNAcentral lists this ribosomal RNA (201 nucleotides) under uncultured bacterium. RNAcentral describes it as "partial 16S ribosomal RNA". It matches the Rfam family "Bacterial small subunit ribosomal RNA", at positions 335 to 524 of the family's 1533-position model. The record is from RNAcentral.